Molecule: ribosomal RNA, 232 nt
Filed under: uncultured bacterium
Lineage: Bacteria
Description: partial 16S ribosomal RNA
Rfam family: Bacterial small subunit ribosomal RNA
Source: RNAcentral
GAUCAUGGCUCAGGACGAACGCUGGCGGCGUGCUUAACACAUGCAAGUCGAACGGAGCACCCUUGAUUGAGGUUUCGGCCAAAUGAUAGGAAUGCUUAGUGGCGGACUGGUGAGUAACGCGUGAGGAACCUGCCUUUCAGAGGGGGACGAACAGUUGGAAACGACUGCUAAUACCGCAUGACGCAUUUUGAUCGCAUGGUCGAAAUGCCAAAGAUUUAUCGCUGAAAGAUGG